CAGGGGAUUGCAGUGGCAAAGCUAGGCUAGGUCUUGGAGGCUGGUGUAAGGCGAUGCGGGUGAAGGCAGGAGGCUGAUGGAAAGACUGGGGGGAAGAAAAGCCGAAAUGGAUUCACGGUGCCUUGGAUGAAGGACGAGAGGGGAACUGCAAGCUCCUUCAACUGGUUCUGUCCGGUGAGAAGUGAUCAAGCUUGGGCUGACAAGAGGCUCAGGGAGCCCUCACGUUCUUUCGCUUUUUUACCUGCCAAUCAAACUGCUACAAGACAACACCCUGAUCUGGCAUGGACAUUCAUUGCAGUCACCUGGAGUCGCGGAAAUGACCAUGAUUGCCUGAACUUUCAUAACUUCUGUGGUUGCAGAAAAGAGAAAACCUGGACUGUGAGGGACAUUUUACUCCCUGACCUUUGGUACAUGGCCUCCCUACAGCGUUGGCUCAGCUCUAGCUACUUGGAAGGUCGUGGCAAUGCUGUCUCAGAAUGUCCAUUUCUAGAGUACAGGGAAGAAAUUCUAGCUUGACGUCCACGUGCAUUUGUCUGUGUUUCAGAGGAAAUUCCAGUUCUAAACUCUUGGAAGAAACAAUUUCUCGGCAUGCUGAAGAGACUUGCUGUUUUUUGGCACCUGAAACAUUUUUACCUGAGGGUUCUGAUUAUUUAAAUAAUUGGUAUGCUAUAACUAUUCUGGCUGACAGAAAUGUGGUUUAAUGUAGAUGAGUUGUAAAAACAUGUGACAAACAUGC
This 736-nucleotide small RNA is filed under the name Pongo abelii (Sumatran orangutan). RNAcentral describes it as "sense overlapping". The stretch from base 14 to 289 matches the Rfam family "SOX2 overlapping transcript exon 3". The record is from RNAcentral. Lineage: Eukaryota; Metazoa; Chordata; Mammalia; Primates; Hominidae.